GUAAGAAGACUUUCACCAGGUGCUGGUGCCAUGUUCUUGGACUUCUCAGUCUCCCAAACCAUAAGCCAAGAGUGAAAUACAUCACCGCUUUCCCUGCUCCCGCCGCCAUUAAAAUUGUGUUUGGCAUCUGACCACCAAGAUACAGAUAUUUCCUAGACUGUUUUGCAGCUAGGUACUUAGCAUUUCUCUUUCCUCUGGAGAAAAAUAUCUGCUUUCUUUAAAAUAAAUGUUCCAUCCAUGCAGCUAAGCAGCUAAGGACACGAACAGCCACUGAUACAGGCCAACUCAUCAGUAGAUUAUUGAGGAAUCAUUCUCUUCAGUCAGAUCACGAUUUGAGUUUGAACUAACCAGAGAGUAGCAGAAGGAACGUUUUCUCAUUUCCAUGUCCAGAAAGAUAUAUUCCUGCUACCCUCCUGAAGUCAGAGGAUGAAAUCAUAGUCAAUACAUCUUUGCAGAUAAACUAUUAGAUUUCAUACUAGGACCUUUCAUUGGCUGAACAAAGACAAAGACAGAAAUCAAGGAAGGUCAAAGAAGCAGUCAGUUUUCUGGCACCCAAAGUUGUUGGAGAAGGGUACAGAGUCGGUAAAUAAGUCAUAUGACAGACAGGCAGUAUUUUCUUAUUUUAAUAACAAGUUUAAAAAUCCCACUUCUUGUACUUACCUUCUGUCUGACGUCAUCAGUAUUUUAAAAUGCCAACUGGGAUCAAGUUCAACACUGCAUUACUGAAGAAUCCAGAUUAUCUACAUUUCAAGUGCCAAAUGAAAGAAAGAACCCAGAAAAUAAAACAAUAUGAUGAUAACAGUAAAAUUUUUUAAAAUGAAAUUUAUGGUCUAAAUCCUGAUCAUUAAUG
Molecule: long non-coding RNA, 850 nt
Filed under: Homo sapiens (human)
Lineage: Eukaryota; Metazoa; Chordata; Mammalia; Primates; Hominidae
Description: HSALNT0293117
Source: RNAcentral